Long non-coding RNA from Dreissena polymorpha, 338 nucleotides. RefSeq lists it as uncharacterized. The transcript is spliced from 3 exons. The record is from RefSeq and is a predicted model, not a curated record. Lineage: Eukaryota; Metazoa; Mollusca; Bivalvia; Myida; Dreissenidae.
GAACAAAAGUAUCUUCAGAAAAGGAGCAAUCCUGUACAUGUAGUAACGGUUUUGAUGUCGAGUAUGACGUCAGUGCCUUUACAGGUGUCCGUAGACGUCGAUCCAGUGACACUGCGUCUCUUGGAACAACGGUUGGCGUCGCAGUCAGCAAUGACGGCAGUACAUACAGUGACUCAGCGUCCUCCGUGAAUAUAAUUCUGGACAGCACUUGCAUCACAAGCGAUGGAACAAACUUUGUGCUCGCCGCUGAAUACUGUCUCAUUGACGGCGUGUGCUAUGCUACUGCGAGCACAUCAAAUAAUGGUUGUUAUACCUGUGAUAUGGCCAACAGAUUUAAA